CCUCCCAAGCCUCUCAGAGAAGCUCAAAUGGGAGGG
RNAcentral lists this small RNA (36 nucleotides) under Rothia nasimurium. RNAcentral describes it as "abiF RNA". It matches the Rfam family "abiF RNA". Lineage: Bacteria; Bacillati; Actinomycetota; Actinomycetes; Micrococcales; Micrococcaceae. The record is from Rfam by way of RNAcentral.